UUCUACAGUGAUGUUACAUCAUCAGAAAUGUUCUCUCAUUUUUACGUGUUGAUUUUUGAAUGUGUGAUUCUGAUCUCGUCUCAGAAUUUUGAGAAUUCUCUCCUUUAUUUGCAAACCGGUACUUGAACAUAUUUCCUUAAAGCUUUACUGUAGGUCAACAUGUGCCGGUGACACGAGAGAAGUCAGUUUUAAGUCACUGUUUAACACUUUGUGGCUUCAUGGGACACAAUGAACACACCUGAGUCCCGCAGACAGAAGCAAACAGGACUAUGAUGUCUUUUCAUUGAGACGGACGCAGUUGAGCAGGGUCACUUUUUUCAUUUGGCGUCGGUUUAAAAUCCAGCUCAGAGAUGAUCUCUUGCUCACAGUCCAGAUUAAUGUGAAGGCGUAUCUGCUUCGUCAGAACACCUACAUGACUGAAGCGGUAUCAUAUCAUGACUGUAUCGUGUACUUUCUGCCUUUUGCACGCUGAGGAAAAGCUUUUCUGCAGUUUGGCUCCUGCUGCGUCUUGUGUUCCACUUGGGUUCCCUCUAAACGUGCUCACAUGUGCCUGGUCCAUUAGUUAGCCCGCAGAUGGCCUGAAAUAGCCAUCUAAUGCAGUAUUAUUCAGCCAGAGCGGCCGCUGGGAGCAACAACAGGCCUGCUCGCUCCCAGCAUGUGACCCGCAGGGCUGGACGUCGUUUUGGGGAAACGAGACGGCAACCAAAAGGACAGGUGGCAGAAACUCUGCAGCAGCAGCAGCAGCAGCAGCAGCAGAGCGCGGCUCUCGGGGACACCUCUGCACAUGUUUCAUAUUCAUGUUGGCUUCUGAUACAGUGAAAUGUGAAAGCGAACCAUCAGGCAGUGAGGAAGAAAAACACGACGCAGGCGCACACAGG
Long non-coding RNA from Acanthopagrus latus (yellowfin seabream), 878 nucleotides. RefSeq lists it as uncharacterized. NCBI's taxonomy places the organism in Eukaryota, Metazoa, Chordata, Actinopteri, Spariformes, Sparidae. The record is from RefSeq and is a predicted model, not a curated record. The transcript is spliced from 3 exons.